Molecule: transfer RNA, 71 nt
Filed under: Camelus bactrianus (Bactrian camel)
Lineage: Eukaryota; Metazoa; Chordata; Mammalia; Artiodactyla; Camelidae
Also listed under: 2 other names
Rfam family: tRNA
About the family: Transfer RNA (tRNA) molecules are approximately 80 nucleotides in length. Their secondary structure includes four short double-helical elements and three loops (D, anti-codon, and T loops).
Source: Rfam by way of RNAcentral
GAGGGUAUAGCUCAGUGGUAGAGUGCCUGCCUAGAAUGCACAGAUCCUAAGUUCAAUCCCCAGUAUCUCCA